RNAcentral lists this ribosomal RNA (468 nucleotides) under uncultured bacterium. RNAcentral describes it as "partial 16S ribosomal RNA". It matches the Rfam family "Bacterial small subunit ribosomal RNA", at positions 28 to 507 of the family's 1533-position model. The record is from RNAcentral.
GACGAACGCUGGCGGCGUGCUUAACACAUGCAAGUCGAACGGUGAUGCUCCAGCUUGCUGGAGUGGAUCAGUGGCGAACGGGUGAGUAACACGUGAGCAACCUGCCCCAGACUCUGGAAUAAGCGCUGGAAACGGCGUCUAAUACUGGAUACGAAACUGGCCCGCAUGGGCAUGGUUUGGACAGUUUUUCGGUUUGGGAUGGGCUCGCGGCCUAUCAGCUUGUUGGUGAGGUAAUGGCUCACCAAGGCUACGACGGGUAGCCGGCCUGAGAGGGCGACCGGCCACACUGGGACUGAGACACGGCCCAGACUCCUACGGGAGGCAGCAGUGGGGAAUAUUGCACAAUGGGCGAAAGCCUGAUGCAGCGACGCCGCGUGAGGGAUGACGGCCUUCGGGUUGUAAACCUCUUUCCGCAGGGAAGAAGCGAAAGUGACGGUACCUGCAGAAGAAGCACCGGCUAACUACGUG